This 506-nucleotide ribosomal RNA is filed under the name uncultured bacterium. RNAcentral describes it as "partial 16S ribosomal RNA". It matches the Rfam family "Bacterial small subunit ribosomal RNA", at positions 29 to 523 of the family's 1533-position model. The record is from RNAcentral.
AGUGAACGCUGGCGGUAGGCCUAACACAUGCAAGUCGAACGGCAGCACAGGAGAGCUUGCUCUCUGGGUGGCGAGUGGCGGACGGGUGAGGAAUACAUCGGAAUCUACUCUGUCGUGGGGGAUAACGUAGAGAAACUUACGCUAAUACCGCAUACGACCUACGGGUGAAAGCAGGGGACCUUCGGGCCUUGCGCGAUUGAAUGAGCCGAUGUCGGAUUAGCUAGUUGGCGCGGUAAGGGCACACCAAGGCGACGAUCCGUAGCUGGUCUGAGAGGAUGAUCAGCCACACUGGAACUGAGACACGGUCCAGACUCCUACGGGAGGCAGCAGUGGGGAAUAUUGGACAAUGGGCGCAAGCCUGAUCCAGCCAUAUCGCGUGGGUGAAGAAGGCCUUCGGGUUGUAAAGCCCUUUUGUUGGGAAAGAAAUCCAGCUGGCUAAUACCCGGUUGGGAUGACGGUACCCAAAGAAUAAGCACCGGCUAACUUCGUGCCAGCAGCCGCGGUAA